Molecule: ribosomal RNA, 367 nt
Filed under: uncultured soil bacterium
Lineage: Bacteria
Description: bacterial SSU rRNA
Rfam family: Bacterial small subunit ribosomal RNA
Source: RNAcentral
AGAUUGAACGCUGGCGGCAGGCCUAACACAUGCAAGUCGAGCGGUAGAGAGGUGCUUGCAUCUCUUGAGAGCGGCGGACGGGUGAGUAAUGCCUAGGAAUCUGCCUAGUGGCGGGGGAUAACGUUCGGAAACGGACGCUAAUACCGCAUACGUCCUACGGGAGAAAGCGGGGGACCUUCGGGCCUCGCGCCAUUAGAUGAGCCUAGGUCGGAUUAGCUAGUUGGUGAGGUAAUGGCUCACCAAGGCGACGAUCCGUAACUGGUCUGAGAGGAUGAUCAGUCACACUGGAACUGAGACACGGUCCAGACUCCUACGGGAGGCAGCAGUGGGGAAUAUUGGACAAUGGGCGAAAGCCUGAUCCAGCCAU